CUGCUAAAGAGGAGGAAGGAAUGGGCAACGGUAGGUCAGCAUGCCCCGAAUUAUCUGGGCUACACGCGGGCUACAAUGGGUGGGACAAUGGGUAUCGACACCGAAAGGUGAAGGCAAUCUCCUAAACCCAUCCGUAGUUCGGAUUGUGGGCUGCAACUCGCCCACAUGAAGCUGGAAUCCGUAGUAAUCGCGUUUCAAAAUAGCGCGGUGAAUAUGUCCCUGCUCCUU
This 228-nucleotide ribosomal RNA is filed under the name uncultured Methanomicrobiales archaeon. Its description in RNAcentral is "partial 16S ribosomal RNA". It matches the Rfam family "Archaeal small subunit ribosomal RNA", at positions 1111 to 1338 of the family's 1478-position model. The record is from RNAcentral. Lineage: Archaea; Methanobacteriati; Methanobacteriota; Methanomicrobia; Methanomicrobiales.